CUACGGACUUAAGAUAAAUUGAGCCUUGAGGCGAGAAAUUCCUCAAGUGUAAGCUGUCAAAUUCAGGGAAACCUAAAUCUGUGAAUUCAGACAAGGCAAUCCUGAGCCAAGCCGAAGGGUAUUAGAAAUGAGGGAGAGAAAGUUUCCCCAAUCUAAGAUCAAAACUUCGGAAGGUGCAGAGACUCGACGGGAGCUACCCUAACGUUAAGCCGAGGGUAAAGAGAGAGUCCAAUUCUCAACGCCAAUGGGCA
Molecule: non-coding RNA, 251 nt
Filed under: Planktothrix serta PCC 8927
Lineage: Bacteria; Bacillati; Cyanobacteriota; Cyanophyceae; Oscillatoriales; Microcoleaceae
Description: Intron_gpI
Rfam family: Group I catalytic intron
About the family: Group I catalytic introns are large self-splicing ribozymes. They catalyse their own excision from mRNA, tRNA and rRNA precursors in a wide range of organisms.
Source: RNAcentral